UUAGAUGAUGAAACGGCACUGGGCUCCGAUUUUUAUAAUGAGCAAGACACGCCAUUUUGCGGCAGGCCUAGAAAACCUCGCCCACUGAUU
Molecule: small nucleolar RNA, 90 nt
Organism: Trichoderma harzianum
Lineage: Eukaryota; Fungi; Ascomycota; Sordariomycetes; Hypocreales; Hypocreaceae
Rfam family: A. fumigatus snoRNA Afu_513
Source: Rfam